GACAGAGGUGCCAAGCGUUAGGCGGAAUCACUGGGCUUAAAGCGUGUGUAGGUGGAUCGUUAAGUGCUUUGUGAAAUCCCACGGCUCAACCGUGGAAUGGCUUGGCAUACUGGCGAUCUUGAGCCAUCCAGGGGCUACUGGAACAAACGGUGGAGCGGUGAAAUGCGUAGAUAUCGUUUGGAACGCCAAAGGUGAAAACAGGUAGCUGGGGAUGUGCUGACACUGAGACACGAAAGCCAGGGGAGCAAACGGG
Molecule: ribosomal RNA, 253 nt
Filed under: uncultured bacterium
Lineage: Bacteria
Description: partial 16S ribosomal RNA
Rfam family: Bacterial small subunit ribosomal RNA
Source: RNAcentral